GAAUGCUGACAUAAGUAACGAUAAAGCGGGUGAAAAGCCCGCUCGCCGGAAGACCAAGGGUUCCUGUCCAACGUUAAUCGGGGCAGGGUGAGUCGACCCCUAAGGCGAGGCCGAAAGGCGUAGUCGAUGGGAAACAGGUUAAUAUUCCUGUACUUGGUGUUACUGCGAAGGGGGGACGGAGAAGGCUAUGUUGGCCGGGCGACGGUUGUCCCGGUUUAAGCGUGUAGGCUGGUUUUCCAGGCAAAUCCGGAAAAUCAAGGCUGAGGCGUGAUGACGAGGCACUACGGUGCUGAAGCGACAAA
Molecule: ribosomal RNA, 302 nt
Filed under: Escherichia coli
Lineage: Bacteria; Pseudomonadati; Pseudomonadota; Gammaproteobacteria; Enterobacterales; Enterobacteriaceae
Description: partial 23S ribosomal RNA
Rfam family: Bacterial large subunit ribosomal RNA
Source: RNAcentral